RNAcentral lists this ribosomal RNA (274 nucleotides) under uncultured bacterium. RNAcentral describes it as "partial 16S ribosomal RNA". It matches the Rfam family "Bacterial small subunit ribosomal RNA", at positions 523 to 796 of the family's 1533-position model. The record is from RNAcentral.
AUACGUAGGGUGCGAGCGUUAAUCGGAAUUACUGGGCGUAAAGCGUGCGCAGGUGGUUUUGUAAGUCAGAUGUGAAAUCCCCGGGCUUAACCUGGGAACUGCGUUUGAAACUGCAAGGCUAGAGUGUGGCAGAGGGGGGUGGAAUUCCGCGUGUAGCAGUGAAAUGCGUAGAGAUGUGGAGGAACACCGAUGGCGAAGGCAGCCCCCUGGGUCAACACUGACGCUCAGGCACGAAAGCAUGGGGAGCAAACAGGAUUAAAUACCCCGGUAGUCC